This is a long non-coding RNA of Oncorhynchus tshawytscha (Chinook salmon), 2700 nucleotides long. NCBI's taxonomy places the organism in Eukaryota, Metazoa, Chordata, Actinopteri, Salmoniformes, Salmonidae. The record is from Ensembl.
CAAUGGCAAGACUUGUGGCUGUCUAGCAAUGAUCAUCAACCAACUUGAAUGUCAGAGCAAAGGCAAAACACCCUCCAAAAUGAAGGGCUGGGCUGCCCCAGUGUCUUUCAGUAUCUUUACCGACUGCUUAACACCAUCGCCACUGUGCAGAAACACGAACCCGUCUGAAGGGUUCAUACACAUCUGAUCCAAAAUCUUGUUUAGGAGAUACACCAGUCCCCACCAGAGACUUAAUGGGCUGGAGUGCCCCCACAAGAAAAAAACUGCUGUUUCUGAGAGAUAAUGUGUAUUGUAAUGAAAAACUAGCAGACGCGAAAAACAAGUUUUCUGAUGAUCUUUAUCUUUGGGCACUGUAGAAAAGGACUGAAAUCUCGCAGUAGGAGGGGGACCUCUCUGGAUUGCUUCCUGCAUAGGGGUAACUACUGGGUGCUCUGUUUGUGAAGGUACUUUUAUGUGUCAACACAAACUCAUCUGCAAGAACUGCAGCUUCCUCAAGAGUGAGAUCCUUGUGCUCAUAAAAGUAGUGUAAAUGUAAUGCAACCCUUUCACGAAGGCAAUUUUUUUAACUGCUCGAGAAGUAUGAGUGUCUUCAAAUCCUCCAGUUUCUUGACCUCUUGAGAACCACACCACCGAUCAAAAAGAAAUGCUUGUUCCCUUGCGAACUCAACAUGACUUUGUAAGAUACCUGUUGUCUAUAUGCCUCUGGGACCAACUCAUAAGCCCAACGGAUAGCAGCUUCAACAGUGUGUCAUAAUCUGAACUCUGAUCAAGAGAUACAGCAGCGUAGACUUUGAUCUUUUCCCACCAGAACACUUUGGAGGAGCAGUGACUAAAUAUCCCGUGGCCAUUUUAGUGAUGUGGCAAUCCGCUCAGAGUCAAAUAAUCACCCAUCUCUUUUUUUGUAUAAAGACGGUACAGGACGGCUGUUGAGACCGAGAUCAAACUCUGUUGAGGGUUCAAGAUGGCGUGGCUGAAUUCGGAGUACUUCCAGAUCUAUCUCUCUUAAUCUGACAUUCUUGAUGUUUGGCUGCACACUCCUCUGGUCUUUCCCUGUGCUCUAACUCUCUAAUUUAUGUUGUGCCUUUAGUUCUAUCUCCCUCAGUUGCACAUCCCUCAGUUGCACAGGACUCACACCACUACUCGUAGCAUUGUUUUCAUCAACCAAAGCACUUGUUCCUCCACCAAAGCAGUACCAAUAAACUCUUUUGACUACUGCUUUUGGAUCACCAGAUACCACCUUGAUGUCGUAAUGCUGUUUUUUUUUAAAGGGGUGUUGUAAUGCUUUUAUUUUUAAUUUUUAAAGGGGUGUUGUAAUGCUUUUUUAAUUUUUUUAUUUAAGGGGUGGUGUAAUGUUUUUUUUUUUAAGGGGUGGUGUAAUGCUAUUUUUUUAAAGGGGUGGUGUAAUGCAAUUUUUUAUUUUUUAAAGGGGUGGUGUAAUGCUUUUUUUUUUUUAUUUAAGGGGUGGUGUAAUGCUAUUUUUAUUUUUUAAAGGGGUGGUGUAAUGCUUUUUUAUUUUUUAUUUAAGGGGUGGUGUAAUGCUAUUUUUUAUUUUUAAAGGGGUGGUGUAAUGCUUUUUUUUUAAAGGGGUGGUGUAAUGCUUUUUUAUUUUUUAAAGGGGGGUGGUGUAAUGCUUUUUUUUUUUAAAGGGGUGGUGUAAUGCUAUUUUUUAUUUUUUAAAGGGGUGGUGUAAUGCUUUUUUUUUUUUUAAAGGGGUGUCAAUGCUUUGCAAUGACGAGCAGAUUCACCAUUAUCUAGCAAUUCCCAUGUGGCGUUUUCCACCAAUUCAUCCAACUUGAAGUCCAAGGCUUUAUUUUAUUAGCCUGUGUGUUUAUGCAACUUUCAAAAUGAUUCCCCCAAUCUGAUAAUCCCUUUGGGUGGAUGACAGUGACAGAAACUCUACCACAAAAAUGUAUUUUGAACACUCAAAUAUCAGGGCACAGCUUCAGAGUAGGUGACUAGAGUGACUAGCAUACUCAUGGGAAACAAGAUCCUAGACGAGCCCCCAUUUUGUUAUGUUCCCCAGCAAGAAAAACGUUUUAAAAAUGUUGCUCAAAACAGAAGCGGGAACUAACAAAGAGUCACUGACAACAACCAAAACAAAACAGGGAUGGUUUUAGGAGGGGUUCUGAAAAACACUCAUGGAGGUGUCCACAGAAAGUUGACUAGCAACAACAACUGGGACCUAAAAGACACACAACAUGAGCACACACUAAAUUUGCCCAAGAUGAGGGAAAACAACAUAAAAACCCACACCAAACUUAAAGACAGGAAGCAAACCAAAAUGGUGGAGCAAAAACAAAAUCAGAUAAAGGAAUGGUUUUCUAGAAUUCAAAUUGGGCGAGCUAACUAAAGGUGUUGACCCUCCACAUCUCUCAAGGUAACUGGAGCACUGGGCCAGCCACUCUGAAAUAGCACCCGGUCCAGCACAGGUGAAGCACCUUCCCACUAACAAGAUGGCAACCUGCACAGGUGUAACACCUACUGACUAACGAGGUGACACCAAUCGGUGCACCCUACGUGCUAUAAAUCCAACGUUAAUGGGAAAACCAAAACCCGUAACACAGAGCUUGAAGAAAUUUUUAAAAGAAAAGUUUGCAAAUAUUGCUAAAUCUAAUAUUGUAUCCAGAAAGACUUACAGCUGUAAUCGCUGCCAAAUGAGAUUCUAACAUGUAUUGACUAAAGGGUAUGAAUAUAUAUAAA